Long non-coding RNA from Oncorhynchus tshawytscha (Chinook salmon), 1157 nucleotides. NCBI's taxonomy places the organism in Eukaryota, Metazoa, Chordata, Actinopteri, Salmoniformes, Salmonidae. The record is from Ensembl.
GCUAUUCUCCCCACAGCAGCCUCCUAUGCUACGAACCAUGUUCAUACCGUAUUUUGAAGACCUAGCAGUGACUUUGUCACAGGAGUAGGCUUAAAACUUUGAUGGUGCCAAUUAGUAGGCCUAAACAACAAGCAAAUAGCCACGACAGGAGAUUCAGCCCCAUUCCAGUGGACAGCAACUGAAUUGGAAUCCCGCAAUCUGACGUUCAGCACCACAGUGCAGUACCCAACACUCAGUUAAAGCAAAAAAAGUGGGGCUGCAGUUAAGACGAACGCGUGUGUGUGUGGGGGGGGGACAUGUGCAACCCAUAGCUCAAAAUGUGUGCUGAUCUCCCUCUAUCCUCCCUACGUCUCCUGGUGCCAUCACUACAUCUGAAGUCUGCUUUCAUGUGGCAAGUGGCUCAGCAGCAUGACGUGAUGCAGUAUGGGAAGCUGGAGGAGUUUGUGACUGGUAACAGAGAUGGUUCUGGAGCUGCUGACCUUAAGGCAGAGGGUCCAACUCAUCCUGGGACUGAGAGCGAGGACAGCAUCUAUUCUCAACCUGACCCCUACUGACCUGGAGGAGUGUGAGCAGUCUGUCUCUGUCUCUGAACCAGAGCAUCUGAAGACACUGCUGCAGCAUCAUAGACAUCCUGGGCACCUUAAAGAAGCUAAGGAUCCCUCAGAUGUUCUCUUCUACGAUUCUGAUACCAUCCUGUCCACGUUGUUCCUCCUCAUUCCCUCACUGGAGUCUAAACCGACCCAGAGAGGUGGAGGAAAGGGCAGGUUGAAGACAGUGAUGUGACGACAGAAGGGGUGAAGAACUAGUCUGGUGAGAAGGGACAGCAAGAAGUCAGCGGGGAAGAUGAAGACACCAAUGAGGAAAGUGAUGAGGACACUAAAAGACUGGAAGAGGCUGGGAACUCUGGGCAGCAGAAACGGCCAUCAUCAGGGGCCGUCAAUGGACAAGCUAAAGCCGAGCCCCCACAGUCCCAGGGCUUCUCCUGCUCACAGUGUCAAUUCUCUGACAGGCAAUGGACUACCCUCCAAGAGCAUGUCAGGAAGAACCAUCUGAAUGAGGACAGCAGGAUCCUGGGCUCUGGAGAAGCUGGAGCUGAGAACAACUCUGCCUGUCAGUGAGAAAGAGAACUUCUCAGCCAAGAAGACCAUGGAGAACAG